GGUUAAAAGCCCAAGGUAAAAAGAAGAAUGGGCCUGGCAAUAGAGUUGAUUGAACUGACUGAAGGACACCAUGAGGAAAUCAAGGAAAAUAGGUUUAUUUCUAAGGAAAGUCCUCAGGACGGAAGGAUCUCAGGUCGGUAGGUCCUCAAGACGGAAAGACUUCAGGUCGGAAGGUCUUCAGGUCGGUAGGUCCUCAAGACGGAAAGACCUCAGGUCGGAAGGUCUUCAGGUCGGGAGGUCCUCAAGACGGAAAGACCUCAGGUCGGAAGGUCUUCAGGUCGGGAGGUCCUCAAGACGGAAAGUCAUCAUGACGGAAGGACCUCAGGUCGGUAGGUCCUCAAGACGGAAAGACCUCAAGUCGGAAGGUUUUCAGGUCGGGAGGUCCUCAAGACGGAAAGACCUCAAGUCGGAAGGUUUUCAGGUCGGGAGGUCCUCAAGACGGAAAGACCUCAAGUCGGAAGGUUUUCAGGUCGGGAGGUCAUCAAGACGGAAAGUCAUCAGGACGGGAAGUCCGCAGGUCGGGAGGCCCUCGGGACGGGAAGUCUGCAGGUCGGGUGGCCUUCAGGACGGGAAGUCCGCAAGUCGGGAGGUCCUCAGGUCGGGAAGUUCUCAGGUCGGAAUUCUGCGGCAGAACCAACAAGUCAGAUGGUUUGC
Molecule: long non-coding RNA, 654 nt
Organism: Andrographis paniculata
Lineage: Eukaryota; Viridiplantae; Streptophyta; Magnoliopsida; Lamiales; Acanthaceae
Exons: 3
Source: RefSeq, a predicted model, not a curated record